AGCAAUAUGUCAGCGGCAGACGGGUGAGUAACGCGUGGGAAUCUACCCAGCCCUAUGGAAUAACGCAUGGAAACGUGUGCUAAUACCAUAUACGCCCCACUUUAAAAUUCCAGGAAGAAUAAAAUGCCUUGGAAUUUUAUGGGGGGGAAAGAUUUAUCGGGGAUGGAUGAGCCCGCGUUGGAUUAGCUAGUUGGUGGGGUAAAGGCCUACCAAGGGGACGAUCCAUAGCUGGUCUGAGAGGAUGAUCAGCCACAUUGGGACUGAGACACGGCCCAAACUCCUACGGGAGGCAGCAGUGGGGAAUAUUGGACAAUGGGCGCAAGCCUGAUCCAGCCAUGCCGCGUGGGUGAUGAAGGCCCUAGGGUUGUAAAGCUCUUUCACCGGAGAAGAUAAUGACGGUAUCCGGAGAAGAAGCCCCGGCUAACUUCGUGCCAGCAGCCGCCGUAA
RNAcentral lists this ribosomal RNA (447 nucleotides) under uncultured bacterium. RNAcentral describes it as "partial 16S ribosomal RNA". It matches the Rfam family "Bacterial small subunit ribosomal RNA", at positions 83 to 523 of the family's 1533-position model. The record is from RNAcentral.